GGAUUAGAUACCCUGGUAGUCCACGCUGUAAACGAUGAGGACUAGCUGUUGGCCAUAUUAAAAUGGUUAGUAGCGCAGCAAACGCGAUAAGUUCUCCGCCUGGGGAGUACGGCCGCAAGGCUAAAACUCAAAGGAAUUGACGGGGGCCCGCACAAGCGGUGGAGCAUGUGGUUUAAUUCGAUGCAACGCGAAGAACCUUACCUACCCUUGACAUCCUAGGAAUCCUGUAGAGAUACGGGAGUACUUCGGUACCUAGUGACAGGUGCUGCAUGGCUGUCGUCAGCUCGUGCCG
Molecule: ribosomal RNA, 292 nt
Filed under: uncultured bacterium
Lineage: Bacteria
Description: partial 16S ribosomal RNA
Rfam family: Bacterial small subunit ribosomal RNA
Source: RNAcentral